This 1189-nucleotide ribosomal RNA is filed under the name uncultured Pseudomonas sp. RNAcentral describes it as "bacterial SSU rRNA". It matches the Rfam family "Bacterial small subunit ribosomal RNA", at positions 287 to 1470 of the family's 1533-position model. Lineage: Bacteria; Pseudomonadati; Pseudomonadota; Gammaproteobacteria; Pseudomonadales; Pseudomonadaceae. The record is from RNAcentral.
CUGGUCUGAGAGGAUGAUCAGUCACACUGGAACUGAGACACGGUCCAGACUCCUACGGGAGGCAGCAGUGGGGAAUAUUGGACAAUGGGCGAAAGCCUGAUCCAGCCAUGCCGCGUGUGUGAAGAAGGUCUUCGGAUUGUAAAGCACUUUAAGUUGGGAGGAAGGGCAGUAAGUUAAUACCUUGCUGUUUUGACGUUACCGACAGAAUAAGCACCGGCUAACUCUGUGCCAGCAGCCGCGGUAAUACAGAGGGUGCAAGCGUUAAUCGGAAUUACUGGGCGUAAAGCGCGCGUAGGUGGUUCGUUAAGUUGGAUGUGAAAGCCCCGGGCUCAACCUGGGAACUGCAUUCAAAACUGGCGAGCUAGAGUAUGGUAGAGGGUGGUGGAAUUUCCUGUGUAGCGGUGAAAUGCGUAGAUAUAGGAAGGAACACCAGUGGCGAAGGCGACCACCUGGACUGAUACUGACACUGAGGUGCGAAAGCGUGGGGAGCAGACAGGAUUAGAUACCCUGGUAGUCACGCCGUAAACGAUGUCGACUAGCCGUUGGGGUCCUUGAGACUUUAGUGGCGCAGCUAACGCAUUAAGUCGACCGCCUGGGGAGUACGGCCGCAAGGUUAAAACUCAAAUGAAUUGACGGGGGCCCGCACAAGCGGUGGAGCGUGUGGUUUAAUUCGAAGCAACGCGAAGAACCUACCUGGCCUUGACAUGCUGAGAACUUUCCAGAGAUGGAUUGGUGCCUUCGGGAACUCAGACACAGGUGCUGCAUGGCUGUCGUCAGCUCGUGUCGUGAGAUGUUGGGUUAAGUCCCGUAACGAGCGCAACCCUUGUCCUUAGUUACCAGCACGUUAUGGUGGGCACUCUAAGGAGACUGCCGGUGACAAACCGGAGGAAGGUGGGGAUGACGUCAAGUCAUCWUGGCCCUUACGGCCAGGGCUACACGCGUGCUACAAUGGUCGGUACAAAGGGUUGCCAAGCCGCGAGGUGGAGCUAAUCCCAUAAAACCGAUCGUAGUCCGGAUCGCAGUCUGCAACUCGACUGCGUGAAGUCGGAAUCGCUAGUAAUCGUGAAUCAGAAUGUCACGGUGAAUACGUUCCCGGGCCUUGUACACACCGCCCGUCACACCAUGGGAGUGGGUUGCACCAGAAGUAGCUAGUCUAACCUUCGGGGGGACGGUUACCACGGAGUGGAUU